Molecule: ribosomal RNA, 262 nt
Filed under: uncultured bacterium
Lineage: Bacteria
Description: partial 16S ribosomal RNA
Rfam family: Bacterial small subunit ribosomal RNA
Source: RNAcentral
GCAAGUCGAGCGGAAACGACAUUAUUGAAUUUUCGGAGGAUUUAAUGGGCGUCGAGCGGCGGACGGGUGAGUAAUGCCUAGGAAAUUGCCUUGAUGUGGGGGAUAACCAUUGGAAACGUUGGCUAAUACCGCAUAAUGCCUACGGGCCAAAGAGGGGGAUCUUCGGACCUCUCGCGUCAAGAUAUGCCUAGGUGGGAUUAGCUAGUUGGUGAGGUAAUGGCUCACCAAGGCGACGAUCCCUAGCUGGUCUGAGAGGAUGAUC